UACGAAGGGUGCAAGCGUUGUUCGGAAUUACUGGGCGUAAAGGGUGUGUAGGCGGCCUGAUAAGAUAGCGGUGAAAUGCCGAGGCUCAACCUCGGAACUGCCGUUAUAACUAUUUGGCUAGAAUGACAGAGAGGAUACUGGAAUACCCAGUGUAGAGGUGAAAUUCGUAGAUAUUGGGUAGAACACCGGUGGCGAAGGCGAGUAUCUGGCUGUAAAUUGACGCUGAGGCACGAAAGCAUGGGGAUCAAAC
Molecule: ribosomal RNA, 250 nt
Filed under: uncultured prokaryote
Description: partial 16S ribosomal RNA
Rfam family: Bacterial small subunit ribosomal RNA
Source: RNAcentral